Molecule: ribosomal RNA, 513 nt
Filed under: uncultured bacterium
Lineage: Bacteria
Description: bacterial LSU rRNA
Rfam family: Bacterial large subunit ribosomal RNA
Source: RNAcentral
AAGUGCAUGUGGUGGAUGCCUUGGCGAUUACAGGCGAUGAAGGACGUUGUAGCCUGCGAAAAGCUGCGGGGAGCUGGCAAACAAGCUUUGAUCCGCAGAUGUCCGAAUGGGGAAACCCACUCCGCAAGGAGUAUCCCUGGCUGAAUACAUAGGUCAGUGGAGGCGAACCCGGCGAACUGAAACAUCUAAGUAGCCGGAGGAACAGAAAUCAACCGAGAUUCCCUAAGUAGUGGCGAGCGAACAGGGACCAGCCUGCAAGAGAUAACUAGUGUGUUAGUGGAACGCUCUGGAAAGUGCGGCCAUAGUGGGUGAUAGCCCCGUACGCGAAAACACAUUAGCGAGACUGAGCUUGCGACAAGUAGGGCGGGACACGUGAAAUCCUGUCUGAAGAUGGGGGGGACCAUCCUCCAAGGCUAAAUACUCGUAAUCGACCGAUAGUGAACUAGUACCGUGAGGGAAGGCGAAAAGAACCCCGGGAGGGGAGUGAAAUAGAUCCUGAAACCGCAUGCAUAC